AUUGAACGCUGGCGGCGGGCCUAACACAUGCAAGUCGAGCGGAUGAAGGGUGCUUGCUCCUGGAUUCAGCGGCGGACGGGUGAGUAAUGCCUAGGAAUCUGCCUGGUAGUGGGGGAUAACGUCCGGAAACGGGCGCUAAUACCGCAUACGUCCUGAGGGAGAAAGUGGGGGAUCUUCGGACCUCACGCUAUCAGAUGAGCCUAGGUCGGAUUAGCUAGUUGGUGGGGUAAAGGCCUACCAAGGCGACGAUCCGUAACUGGUCUGAGAGGAUGAUCAGUCACACUGGAACUGAGACACGGUCCAGACUCCUACGGGAGGCAGCAGUGGGGAAUAUUGGGCAAUGGGCGAAAGCCUGAUCCAGCCAUGCCGCGUGUGUGAAGAAGGUCUUCGGAUUGUAAAGCACUUUAAGUUGGGAGGAAGGGCAGUAAGUUAAUACCUUGCUGUUUUGACGUUACCAACAGAAUAAGCACCGGCUAACUUCGUG
Molecule: ribosomal RNA, 484 nt
Filed under: uncultured bacterium
Lineage: Bacteria
Description: partial 16S ribosomal RNA
Rfam family: Bacterial small subunit ribosomal RNA
Source: RNAcentral